Manis javanica (Malayan pangolin) is the source of this 1639-nucleotide non-coding RNA. The record is from RefSeq and is a predicted model, not a curated record. Lineage: Eukaryota; Metazoa; Chordata; Mammalia; Pholidota; Manidae.
UGUCGUGUCAUUUUCUUUUGGCCCUGUUCUCCUCUGUGUUGGCGUCAUUCUCAGGCAGAUACCUUGCGGUGGCUGCCAGGAGCUCUGGGCUUUCUUCCUCCCAGUUCAGCCUCACCAAAAGGAAGAGAGCUUUUCAUUCCCAAAGGCCUUUGCCUUUGCUGACAUCCUGGGGUUCCUGCUUAUUGUCCUGACUCAUCUCACAUGCUCAUCCCUGAACCUGGACUGCUGACCAGCUGGGACAAGGCCAGGUGCACAUUCCUGGAGCUCCAGACACGUCGUACAUUUUUCAUCUGUUGAUCGGUGGCCUAGCCCUCUAGGAUAUGCAUCACUUGAAGGCGGGGUUUUGCUUUGCUGACUGCUACAUCCCCCAAGGACAGGGCUGGAACUAGGGUGAGAUGUAAGAGCCAGCGCUUCCCCAUCCGGGUCCGCAGAUUCAGCCUUCCUUACAGAUCUUCACAUCCCUGUCCCUGGUGCCCUCCAGAAAAUAAAACAAAAGUCUAUCCAGCUUGUUUUCUCCAUACCUUUUUAUUGAACUCUGCAUACUUCAGUAAGAGACCAUUUGCUUAGAAAUUCUUAAACAUGUGGACAUAUUUUACAGGACAGGACAGCAGCUGGAGGUCACAAUUUCAUUGCAUCACAUGCAUAAAAAGACACUGGGUUUCUUGUUUCAUUUCCUGUGUGUGUGCUUGUGUGUGUGUGUGUGUGUGUGUGUGUGUGUGUGUGUGUGUGUGUGUAUGCAAUGCUCAUUUUCACUUUUUUAGAAGGACUGGAGACGUCAGCUGACCAGAGAUGAACAGGACCCAGGAAUGCGGCCCCGAGAAAAGAGCAGCAAAGGACAUUGGUCAUUUAUGGCUAAUGUGAUUGGCUUGGCCCCCAUCAUGUGUGGGGCGAUUGGAAUGGCUUUGCUGGCAGAAAAGCCUCAACCUCACACCACAGUUCCUGGGAGAGACAAAGGGUCUUAGCUAAUGGGAUCAUCAGGGUGCAUGCUACUGCGGGGGGCACUGGGGCUCAGGGGAAAGGAAGACCCAUCGGCUCUGAAAACUGGAGGACAGGUUGUGGUCUUUCCAGCUGAACUCACAUGGCUCAGGAAUAUGAUGCGGUUUCCAGAUGUCAGCUCCUAUGAUGCUGCUCUAGCAAGUCCCAGACCAGAGGAAAUCCCUACUUUGGCCUCUUGGCUUUAGACUAUGUCUGUGAGCUCAACAUAAGGCUGAUGAUGCAGACUAGAGGAGUAGGAAGGAGCCGCAGGCUCCCCCACAGGCCCUGGAAAUGUCACCCUGAGAAGGCUCUAGAUCUUAGGGCAGACAAGUGUCAAAUAUGGACAUAAUCUUGGCCUGUCAUUAAGUCAAAGGCCAGAUAGUAUUGGUAGGGCGUACAGGCUUCAAUGGGAGGGCCCCCACAUUUCUCCUUCCUUCCCAGUUAGCAAUCCCUCAAGCCAGGUAAGAGCUAAUGACUCCUCCAUUCACUCCUCCAUUCAUUCACUCUGAGCUCAUUCACACAUUCACUCAUUCAAAGAAACACAGUUGGGUGACCACUAUGUGCCAAGGGCAUACUUGGAGGAUAACCCUGAGUUCCUGGUGCAGAAAAUGAUGUUCCCAGUCCUUGACCUUGGACUGAAGCCAGGAGGGCAAGGGGGCCAGCU